AACGCGAAGAACCUUACCUGGGCUCGAAAUGUAGAGGACGACUGCAGAGAUGCAGUUUCCCGCAAGGGCCUCUAUAUAGGUGCUGCAUGGCUGUCGUCAGCUCGUGCCGUGAGGUGUUUGGUUAAGUCCAGCAACGAGCGCAACCCUUAUCGUUAGUUGCCAACGCGUAAUGGCGGGAACUCUAACGAGACUGCCUGGGUUAACCAGGAGGAAGGUGAGGAUGACGUCAAGUCCGCAUGGCCUUUAUGUCCAGGGCUACACACGUGCUACAAUGGUCGGUACAGAAGGCUGCGAAACCGUAAGGCGAAGCAAAUCCUAUAAAACCGAUCUCAGUUCAGAUUGUAGUCUGCAACUCGGCUACAUGAAGUUGGAAUUGCUAGUAAUGGCGUGUCAGCAACAACGCCGUGAAUACGUUCCCGGGCCUUGUA
RNAcentral lists this ribosomal RNA (428 nucleotides) under uncultured Chlamydiae bacterium. RNAcentral's name for it is "bacterial SSU rRNA". It matches the Rfam family "Bacterial small subunit ribosomal RNA", at positions 958 to 1385 of the family's 1533-position model. Lineage: Bacteria; Pseudomonadati; Chlamydiota; Chlamydiia. The record is from RNAcentral.